Molecule: long non-coding RNA, 90 nt
Organism: Sinocyclocheilus rhinocerous
Lineage: Eukaryota; Metazoa; Chordata; Actinopteri; Cypriniformes; Cyprinidae
Exons: 3
Source: RefSeq, a predicted model, not a curated record
UGUUGUGAUUGAAUGGGUGUGACGGUUCCCGUUGGAAUUUGGGUGAUUUGUAGCUCCGCCUACGACUCACCUCAAUCUGCAGUUCAUUGC